Molecule: ribosomal RNA, 431 nt
Filed under: uncultured Mesotoga sp.
Lineage: Bacteria; Thermotogati; Thermotogota; Thermotogae; Kosmotogales; Kosmotogaceae
Description: bacterial SSU rRNA
Rfam family: Bacterial small subunit ribosomal RNA
Source: RNAcentral
UGCGGAAUUUUAGAUAAUGGAGGCAACUCUGAUCUAGCGACGCCGCGUGCAGGAAGAAGGUCUUCGGAUUGUAAACUGCUGUGGUAAGGGAAAAAUGCCAUGUAGAGUGGAAAGCUACAUGGAGGGAUGGUACUUUACUAGAAAGCCCCGGCUAACUACGUGCCAGCAGCCGCGGUAAUACGUAGGGGGCGAGCGUUACCCGGAAUCACUGGGCGUAAAGGGAGCGUAGGUGGCCUGACAUGUCAACUGUGAAAACCCGGAGCUCAACUCCGGACUUGCAGUUGAAACUGCCAGGCUUGAGGACGGUAGAGGAAGACGGAACUGCCAGUGUAGGGGUAAAAUCCUUAGAUAUUGGCAGGAACGCCGGUGACGAAGGUGGUUUUCUGGGCCGGUUCUGACACUGAUGCUCGAAAGCCAGGGGAGCGAACGGG